CUUUUAAACCGUAGUAGUCGCUCCGACGUAAAGUCGGAGAGGAAAGUCCGAGCACCCAAGAGCAUGGUGGUCGCUAACGGCGACCGGUCCGCUGGUAACAGCUGGCAAGGGAAAGUGCCACAGAAACUAUGUCUCUCCGCUUAGCGGGGUAAGAGUGAAAAGUCCGCGAUAAUCAGCGCGGUUUCCGCAUCAGUGAUGGUGCGGGAUGGCAAACCCCACCUGGUGCAAGGCAUGCAUGGGGGAAUGGAAUAUGUGAUGGCUCGUUACACCAUUUCUGCUGCCGCUUAGAUAGAUGACUACUUCUUCUUCGCUCUCACGAGCCUAGAAGAACAGAACUCGGCUUAUGAGUUUAAAAUUUUC
Molecule: RNase P RNA, 360 nt
Filed under: Patescibacteria group bacterium
Lineage: Bacteria
Description: RNase P RNA component class A
Rfam family: Bacterial RNase P class A
About the family: Ribonuclease P (RNase P) is a ubiquitous endoribonuclease, found in archaea, bacteria and eukarya as well as chloroplasts and mitochondria. Its best characterised activity is the generation of mature 5'-ends of tRNAs by cleaving the 5'-leader elements of precursor-tRNAs.
Source: RNAcentral